CCUACGGGUGGCAGCAGUGAGGAAUAUUGGUCAAUGGGCGGGAGCCUGAACCAGCCAAGUAGCGUGAAGGAUGAAUGCGCUGCGGGUUGUAAACUUCUUUUGUCAGGGGACAAAGUGAGGCACGUGUGCCUUUUUGUGUGUACCUUAUGAAUAAGCAUCGGCUAACUCCGUGCCAGCAGCCGCGGUAAUACGGAGGAUCCGAGCGUUAUCCGGAUUUAUUGGGUUUAAAGGGUGCGGAGGUGGGGUGUUAAGUCCGGUGUGAAAGUUUGCGGCUCAACCGUAACAGUGCCGUUGAUACUGGCAGUCUUGAGGACGGUUGAGGUAGGCGGAAUGCGUGGUGUAGCGGUGAAAUGCUUAGAUAUCACGAAGAACCCCGAUUGCGAAGGCAGCGUACUAAACUGCCACUGACACUGAGGCUCGAAAGUGUGGGUAUCAAACAGGAUUAGAUACCCUAGUAGUC
Molecule: ribosomal RNA, 460 nt
Filed under: uncultured bacterium
Lineage: Bacteria
Description: partial 16S ribosomal RNA
Rfam family: Bacterial small subunit ribosomal RNA
Source: RNAcentral